This 887-nucleotide ribosomal RNA is filed under the name Escherichia coli. Its description in RNAcentral is "partial 23S ribosomal RNA". It matches the Rfam family "Bacterial large subunit ribosomal RNA", at positions 1920 to 2806 of the family's 2925-position model. The record is from RNAcentral. Lineage: Bacteria; Pseudomonadati; Pseudomonadota; Gammaproteobacteria; Enterobacterales; Enterobacteriaceae.
CCGGUAAACGGCGGCCGUAACUAUAACGGUCCUAAGGUAGCGAAAUUCCUUGUCGGGUAAGUUCCGACCUGCACGAAUGGCGUAAUGAUGGCCAGGCUGUCUCCACCCGAGACUCAGUGAAAUUGAACUCGCUGUGAAGAUGCAGUGUACCCGCGGCAAGACGGAAAGACCCCGUGAACCUUUACUAUAGCUUGACACUGAACAUUGAGCCUUGAUGUGUAGGAUAGGUGGGAGGCUUUGAAGUGUGGACGCCAGUCUGCAUGGAGCCGGCCUUGAAAUACCACCCUUUAAUGUUUGAUGUUCUAACGUUGGCCCCUGAUCGGGGUUGCGGACAGUGUCUGGUGGGUAGUUUGACUGGGGCGGUCUCCUCCUAAAGAGUAACGGAGGAGCACGAAGGUUGGCUAAUCCUGGUCGGACAUCAGGAGGUUAGUGCAAUGGCAUAAGCCAGCUUGACUGCGAGCGUGACGGCGCGAGCAGGUGCGAAAGCAGGUCAUAGUGAUCCGGUGGUUCUGAAUGGAAGGGCCAUCGCUCAACGGAUAAAAGGUACUCCGGGGAUAACAGGCUGAUACCGCCCAAGAGUUCAUAUCGACGGCGGUGUUUGGCACCUCGAUGUCGGCUCAUCACAUCCUGGGGCUGAAGUAGGUCCCAAGGGUAUGGCUGUUCGCCAUUUAAAGUGGUACGCGAGCUGGGUUUAGAACGUCGUGAGACAGUUCGGUCCCUAUCUGCCGUGGGCGCUGGAGAACUGAGGGGGGCUGCUCCUAGUACGAGAGGACCGGAGUGGACGCAUCACUGGUGUUCGGGUUGUCAUGCCAAUGGCACUGCCCGGUAGCUAAAUGCGGAAGAGAUAAGUGCUGAAAGCAUCUAAGCACGAAACUUGCCCCGAGAUG